UUUCCGUAGGUGAACCUGCGGAAGGAUCAUUAGUGAAUAAACAAGUGCAGGUUGUGCUGGCCUUCUUGGUAUGUGCACACCUGCCAAAGUUUCAUUCCAUCUUCCCACCUGUGCACUCUGUGUAGAUUCUGUAUGCUGUUGUCAAGCCUUUAUUGUGCUUGGUUGAGAGGAGUUGCUUGUUUUCACAAACAAGCUCUUCUUGGGCAUGCGGGUCUAUGUUUAUAUCAACACCAUAUAUGAAUGUUUUAGAAUGUGUAUCAGGCUUUUGGCCUUUAAAUUAUAUACAACUUUCAACAACGGAUCUCUUGGCUCUC
Molecule: unclassified non-coding RNA, 314 nt
Filed under: plant metagenome
Description: partial contains small subunit ribosomal RNA, internal transcribed spacer 1, and 5.8S ribosomal RNA
Source: RNAcentral